This is a long non-coding RNA of Belonocnema kinseyi, 1183 nucleotides long. RefSeq lists it as uncharacterized. The record is from RefSeq and is a predicted model, not a curated record. Lineage: Eukaryota; Metazoa; Arthropoda; Insecta; Hymenoptera; Cynipidae. The transcript has 3 exons.
CGAUCAAGUAUCACAAACUGUCAAAAUUUCUUAUUAUUUUCCUAAUGAUAUAUAAAUCCAGCCAAAAAUUAACUGUGAAAGCGGAGGCAUAAAAUGUACCAAAUCUUUAUUGAGUUAUUAAAUAAAUAGAAAUCAGGUUUUGCUUUUUGAGCGUAUCCUCAAUGCGUAUCCUCUAAACAUGGACAAUAUGGUUCUCAAAGAUAAGACAUUAAUCGAUCAGCCAUUAACUAGUGGCUGACGAGCCAAUAACUUGCGGCUGAGCAGCCUAUAACUAGCGACUGUCCAGCUCAUAACUAGCGGCUGACCAACCUCUGUCUAGCGGCUGACCAGGCGGUCUGGUCUGGGGCUAGCCAGACAAAACGUUACACUUUUGGCCAGGCCCAGGCCAGAUUAUCUGGUCAGCGCCAGGGCUGCAAAUCUGGCGGUCUGGUCUAGGCCAGGCCAGCACCAGAACAUUUUUCCACAUGGCAUUUCAAAGAAUUUGGUUUCCUCUUUUCGACCAGCCGGAUUUAGAUGCAGGUUCAUAUAUGUAUCUUUUUGGUAAUGAUGGGAUUUCUUGUUUAAGAAGAAAGAAAAAGUGAUCUGAUGUCGAUGAUCGAUAAGUACUGCCAUGAACCGGUUAAGAUUACUGAUUCUUCGAAGACCGAAGGCUAAUUGACACGCGAAUGGUGCCAGAUUUUAUGACGUGGCUGACAGAAGAUGCAGACCUGUACAAUCGAAGACCGGCUAAGGGAUGACCACCCGCUAAGGGAUAAUUAAGCCUCCGCGGUUUGUCGCGCUAAUGAGGAGUUUAUCUCGAAACAUAUAAGACCGACGCUAAGGGCCUCUUCCUCAGAAUCAGAUCUCAUUUGUCUCUGAUUGACCCUCCGAUUGAAACCAUAAAUUUUAUUUCAGAUCCAGAAGAAAUCUACUUUCUUAUCAAUAAUUUCAUGCAACGAAAUCUGAGAAUGAAAAACAUUUACAAUUUGAAAUUAGAUUUCGAAACUACUUCCUUUUCGAGUCAUUAGAGAGAAAUACAUAACAAAGGGAAAAAAGAAAAAAAGAACGAGAAAAAGGAAAAAGUCAACCAAAAUCUACCUCUCACUCUUUCCUUAUUUUUUCUCCUUUUUUAUACUUCUAGGGCAGACUUGUCCACCGAGGAGAAAUUCCAGGAAUUUUCCUCGAGUUUUCCCCCGAUUUUUUU